This 468-nucleotide ribosomal RNA is filed under the name uncultured bacterium. RNAcentral describes it as "partial 16S ribosomal RNA". It matches the Rfam family "Bacterial small subunit ribosomal RNA", at positions 28 to 507 of the family's 1533-position model. The record is from RNAcentral.
GACGAACGCUGGCGGCGUGCUUAACACAUGCAAGUCGAACGGAAAGGCCCUGCUUUUGUGGGGUGCUCGAGUGGCGAACGGGUGAGUAACACGUGGGUAACCUGCCCUUGACUUUGGGAUAACUUCAGGAAACUGGGGCUAAUACCGGAUAGGAGCUCCUGCUGCAUGGUGGGGGUUGGAAAGUUUCGGCGGUUGGGGAUGGACUCGCGGCUUAUCAGCUUGUUGGUGGGGUAGUGGCUUACCAAGGCUUUGACGGGUAGCCGGCCUGAGAGGGUGACCGGCCACAUUGGGACUGAGAUACCGCCCAGACUCCUACGGGAGGGAGCAGUGGGAAAUAUUGCACAAUGGGCGGAAGCCUGAUGCAGCAACGCCGCGUGCGGGAUGACGGCCUUCGGGGUAUAAACCGCUUUCGCCUGUGACGAAUCGUGAGUGACGGUAAUGGGUAAAGAAGCACCGGCUAACUACGUG